GACGAACGCUGGCGGCGUGCCUAAUACAUGCAGGUAGAACGCUGAAGGAGGAGCUUGCUUCUCUGGAUGAGUUGCGAACGGGUGAGUAACGCGUAGGUAACCUGCCUGGUAGCGGGGGAUAACUAUUGGAAACGAUAGCUAAUACCGCAUAAUAGUAGAUGUCGCAUGACAUUUGCUUAAAAGUUGCAAUUCAAUCCCUACCAAUUGACCUUGCGUUGUAUUAGCUAGUUGGUGAGGUAACGGCUCACCAAGGCAACGAUACAUAGCCGACCUGAGAGGGUGAUCGGCCACACUGGGACUGAGACACGGCCCAGACUCCUACGGGAGGCAGCAGUAGGGAAUCUUCGGCAAUGGACGGAAGUCUGACCGAGCAACGCCGCGUGAGUGAAGAAGGUUUUCGGAUCGUAAAGCUCUGUUGUAAGAGAAGAACGAGUGUGAGAGUGGAAAGUUCACACUGUGACGGUAUCUUACCAGAAAGGGACGGCUAACUACGUG
Molecule: ribosomal RNA, 495 nt
Filed under: uncultured bacterium
Lineage: Bacteria
Description: partial 16S ribosomal RNA
Rfam family: Bacterial small subunit ribosomal RNA
Source: RNAcentral